This 465-nucleotide ribosomal RNA is filed under the name uncultured bacterium. RNAcentral describes it as "partial 16S ribosomal RNA". It matches the Rfam family "Bacterial small subunit ribosomal RNA", at positions 338 to 795 of the family's 1533-position model. The record is from RNAcentral.
CCUACGGGAGGCAGCAGUGGGGAAUAUUGCGCAAUGGGCGAAAGCCUGACGCAGCGACGCCGCGUGAGGGAUGAAGGUCUUCGGAUCGUAAACCUCUGUCAGCAGGGCAGAACGGUCACUGUGCUAAUCAGCAGUGAAUUGACGGUACCUGCAAAGGAAGCACCGGCUAACUCCGUGCCCGCAGCCGCGGUAAUACGGGGGGUGCGAGCGUUCAUCGGAAUUACUGGGCGUAAAGCGCUCGUAGGCGGUAUGUCAAGUCAAGGGUGAAAUCCCCGCGCUCAACGGGGGAACUGCCUUUGAAACUGGCAAACUGGAGUGUGUGAGAGGAUAGUGGAAUUCCAGGUGUAGGAGUGAAAUCCGUAGAUAUCUGGAGGAACAUCAGUGGCGAAGGCGACUAUCUGGCACAUAACUGACGCUGAGGAGCGAAAGCGUGGGUAGCAAACAGGAUUAGAUACCCUUGUAGUC